This 317-nucleotide long non-coding RNA is filed under the name Elaeis guineensis (African oil palm). Its description in RNAcentral is "long non-coding RNA (EGUI_LNC062700)". The record is from RNAcentral. Lineage: Eukaryota; Viridiplantae; Streptophyta; Magnoliopsida; Arecales; Arecaceae.
AGGGUUUGACAAUCUUUUUAAAAAUGAGUUCAUAUAGUAUGAUCGUAGCCUGAUUAGGAAAUUAUGUGGAUUAAUCAUAUAGUCCGAGCUAAUUCAAUUUGACAAUCUUUUUCAUGAUGAGCUUCACUAAUGAGAUACCUUCUCUCAUUAUUGCAUAUGUUAGAAAAAUUCUUGUGUGAUAUUAUUCUCUAUGCCAAAAAGAGAGAAUAAUAUGAAAGAAAAAUAAUGAGAGAAGACAAUCUUUUCUCUUACCUUUUUUCUCUACAAGACAUCAACUUUUGAUCUCUUGAUAGAGGACUCUCCUCCAUGGAUAUUGG